RNAcentral lists this small nuclear RNA (141 nucleotides) under Erinaceus europaeus (western European hedgehog). Its description in RNAcentral is "U2 spliceosomal RNA". It matches the Rfam family "U2 spliceosomal RNA". From Rfam's summary of the family: U2 is a small nuclear RNA (snRNA) component of the spliceosome (involved in pre-mRNA splicing). The record is from Rfam by way of RNAcentral. Lineage: Eukaryota; Metazoa; Chordata; Mammalia; Eulipotyphla; Erinaceidae.
AUCACUUCUUAGCCUUUUGGCUAAGAUCAAGUAUAAUUAUAGGAAUAAUAGUCAACCCAUUAUCUGUGAUCUUGGGAGAACUAAUGCAGUUUCCAGUGGAGGGAAUGGGGACACAGAACUCCCCAUAGCUUUCUUAUUCCU